CUACGAUAAGAGCAAACUUAUUGAAAGAUAAGGACGCAAAGCCACGGGUCUAAAGCAAAGAAGCUAGGAUAGCCGGGCUGCCGAA
Molecule: non-coding RNA, 85 nt
Filed under: Domibacillus iocasae
Lineage: Bacteria; Bacillati; Bacillota; Bacilli; Caryophanales; Bacillaceae
Description: c-di-GMP sequence
Rfam family: c-di-GMP-I riboswitch aptamer
About the family: GEMM was predicted in a large-scale screen for bacterial structured RNA regulatory elements. Genes associated with GEMM are involved in a diverse array of functions, including chemotaxis regulation, signal transduction, secretion and chitin.
Source: Rfam by way of RNAcentral